RNAcentral lists this transfer RNA (75 nucleotides) under Acidobacteriota bacterium. RNAcentral's name for it is "tRNA-Gln". It matches the Rfam family "tRNA". From Rfam's summary of the family: Transfer RNA (tRNA) molecules are approximately 80 nucleotides in length. Their secondary structure includes four short double-helical elements and three loops (D, anti-codon, and T loops). RNAcentral also lists the same sequence under 2 other names. Lineage: Bacteria; Pseudomonadati; Acidobacteriota. The record is from RNAcentral.
UGGGGAGUCGCCAAGUGGUAAGGCAUCGGUCUUUGGAGCCGACAUUCGGUGGUUCGAAUCCACCCUCCCCAGCCA